This 261-nucleotide ribosomal RNA is filed under the name uncultured prokaryote. RNAcentral's name for it is "partial 16S ribosomal RNA". It matches the Rfam family "Bacterial small subunit ribosomal RNA", at positions 524 to 784 of the family's 1533-position model. The record is from RNAcentral.
UACGUAGGGGGCGAGCGUUACCCGGAAUCACUGGUCGUAAAGGGAGCGUAGGUGGCCUGACAUGUCGACUGUGAAAACCCGGAGCUCAACUCCGGACUUGCAGUGGGUACGGGCAGACUAGAGUGUGGUAGGGGAGACUGGAAUUCCUGGUGUAGCGGUGAAAUGCGCAGAUAUCAGGAGGAACACCGAUGGCGAAGGCAGGUCUCUGGGCCACUACUGACGCUGAGAAGCGAAAGCAUGGGGAGCGAACAGGAUUAGAUA